CGAAAACUGGUCGAAGAGCACCCAAACCGGGCGAAAGGGGCCAUAAAGAAGGCUGGCGGGGGGAGGUGGAACCUCUGCAGAUUCCCCCAGCCGCCUCCAGGAACUUCCCCAAGGGGAAAAUCAGUUCACAUGAACUACUACUAUGCAGCUUAACUCAACACUUGUUCAAUGUGCCAUAAAGAAAUAUUGCCUUACCAAUAUCAUGUGACCAGUGGAGAUGUCCAUGUUGGACUGGACUGGUUCUUCACACCAAGAUGAAGUGCUGCUUCGAGCAGAGGGACUUGGAAUGGGUCCAUCACUGAACUGUGAAGAUAUGCUGUUGAUUCGCGAGGCGUGCAGAGGCUCUGGGUGAUCUGUUGAUUUGACUGCCAUACGCUGACGACAUAGCUCCUAGCACAUAAACAUUGUAGGAUUAAAACCCAGCAUCUAAGGAAUGCAUCUUGUAAUAUAUGCACUGAACACACGUAGGCUCAAUCCUAUACAUAGCUCUACUCUUGUGGCUGCCUAUGAAGCCUAUGCACAUAAUUGCAAGUCACAGAUAAAAUGAACAUGAGAAUGGACAUUUGUUGGUAUUCAUGACUGUAACUAAUAUUUAUAGGUAUGUGUACAGUACAGUACUCCCAGUAAGAGGGAAUCCCAGAUGUUGUUGACUACAGCUCCCAGAAUCUCUAGGACGCAGUCGGCUUUGGCUGAGGAUUCUGGGAAUUGUAGUCAAUAAUAUCAGGGAUUUUCUGUUAGAAGGAACACUGGUACAGUAUAUAUAUUUUACAGCACUGAUGAACAUAAAAUCCUAUAUUACAUAAAAUUAAAAAUAUCUUGUAACUUAAUAAUAUUAUUAUUAAUAUUAAUUUAUUAAUAUUAUUUUACCUUGACUGCGGGAAGAUAUAAAUGGCUGAAACAUGAUAAAUUGUAUUUAUAUCUAGAUUUCUAUAGCCUACAUUGCUGUCUGCUCAAGACUGUUAGGAUUCCUCCAAGUAUGAGAUUUCAAAACAUAUGGAUUUGAAACAGAUUGUGGCUGUGAUAAUUUGCUUACUCUAGAAGGCUGACUUCACGUGAGCUACUUUGAAGGUUGUAGAAUGAAGCUUGCAUAAGAUAAUUAAGCAUUAUGGAAACAUGCUUUUGUUGAAAAAUUCAGAUAAAUAACUUCAUUACACAUUUUGAGACUACUGAAGUUAACAAGGUUGCAAGGAAAAAUAGAAUUUGAUCCUGAAUAGGAAGAAACAGCAGACAAGAAAGCACCUGAACAAACAAUUUCUCAAAUGUAGAUUCUAGCUGCAUUUUUCUUCAUUAAAGUGAUGUAAACAAUG
Molecule: long non-coding RNA, 1307 nt
Organism: Hemicordylus capensis (graceful crag lizard)
Lineage: Eukaryota; Metazoa; Chordata; Lepidosauria; Squamata; Cordylidae
Exons: 2
Source: RefSeq, a predicted model, not a curated record